AAGCGGUGGAGCAUGUGGUUAAUUCGAAGCAACGCGAAGAACCUUACCAGGUCUUGACAUCCCCUGACAACCGAGAGAUCGGGCGUUCCCCUUCGGGGGACAGGGUGACAGGUGGUGCAUGGUUGUCGUCAGCUCGUGUCGUGAGAUGUUGGGUUAAGUCCCGCAACGAGCGCAACCCUUGUCUUUAAUUGCCAUCAUUUAGUUGGGCACUUUAAAGAGACUGCCGGUGUUAAGCCGGAGGAAGUGGGGAUGACGUCAAGUCCUCAUGGCCUUUAUGCCCAGGGCUACACACGUGCUACAAUGGGCGGUACAAAGAGAAGCAACCUCGCGAGGGUGAGCAAAUCUCAAAAAGCCGUUCUCAGUUCGGAUUGAAGUCUGCAACUCGACUUCAUGAAGUCGGAAUCGCUAGUAAUCGCGGAUCAGCAUGCCGCGGUGAAUACGUUCCCGGGCCUU
Molecule: ribosomal RNA, 453 nt
Filed under: uncultured Syntrophaceae bacterium
Lineage: Bacteria; Pseudomonadati; Thermodesulfobacteriota; Syntrophia; Syntrophales; Syntrophaceae
Description: bacterial SSU rRNA
Rfam family: Bacterial small subunit ribosomal RNA
Source: RNAcentral